CCUACGGGAGGCAGCAGUGGGGAAUAUUGCACAAUGGGGGAAACCCUGAUGCAGCAACGCCGCGUGGGUGAAGAAGCGCCUCGGCGCGUAAAGCCCUGUCAGCAGGGAAGAAAAUGACGGUACCUGAAGAAGAAGCCCCGGCUAACUACGUGCCAGCAGCCGCGGUAAUACGGAGGGGGCAAGCGUUAUCCGGAUUUACUGGGUGUAAAGGGGGCGCAGGCGGGGAUGCAAGUCAGGUGUGAAAGCCCGGGGCCUAACCCCGGGACUGCAGUUGAAACUGUGUGGCUAGAGUGUGGGAGGGGUAGGCGGAAUUCCUGGUGUAGCGGUGAAAUGCGUAGAGAUCAGGAGGAACA
RNAcentral lists this ribosomal RNA (353 nucleotides) under uncultured bacterium. RNAcentral's name for it is "partial 16S ribosomal RNA". It matches the Rfam family "Bacterial small subunit ribosomal RNA", at positions 338 to 708 of the family's 1533-position model. The record is from RNAcentral.